Long non-coding RNA from Sander lucioperca (pikeperch), 205 nucleotides. RefSeq lists it as uncharacterized. The transcript has 3 exons. Lineage: Eukaryota; Metazoa; Chordata; Actinopteri; Perciformes; Percidae. The record is from RefSeq and is a predicted model, not a curated record.
UUGAUCCUCCAUUAUUAUGGCCCCUCUGCAGACGAUUGUCAAGCGCAAAGAUUGCUUACAAUGUAAUUCUUGUUAACCUUGUGUUGUCCUUUGGGUCCCAGUGACCCGAAGGACAACACAAGGGUUAUGUACUUCCGUUUACUUUGUUGAGAAUUGCUCUCUAAACCCUGUCUCUUGUUAAGUAAAUAAAUUUUUAUUCUAGCGA